UGCGUCGAUAGAGUAAACAAACCAGAAGCUGGUUCCUGAAAUCGAGUAAACAUAUGGGUGAAAAAUUGACCAUUAGGUAAAUAAAUUGUUGCUGAAAGCAAUCUGAUAACAAUAUCCCGCUUGGAAACUGCAAGUUCACGUUACUAUGGCAACGGGUCCAACUGAUGUCAACUCCCCAAUCACACCAAUGCCAUUCGACAGUUCGCGCAAAAGUGAGCCUGGCACAGUUUGACGCCAUCGAAGUAGCUCCUUUCCUGGAUGGUCCGGUUGAAGGGAAGUUCUUCCACGUACUUCAGUCAUUUCCCUGCCCCACGAGGAUGGCGUUGCACAAAGUAGAAAAUCCGGAGCGAAGGCAGCAAGGUAAACAAAUCUAAUGCUUAUGUGUGCUACGUUACCGCUGAAGCUAGAAAAAGGACGAUGGAAAACAGCAGAAAGAGAAGGGAUCAUUCUGGCAUGCCCUUCCACCAUACCCCGUCUGUUGGUAAGGCAGGACACACGACACUGAUCUGCACAUAAUCCGCGGACCUGCUGGGACCUUUUCGGAGCGAAUUGCGGAACAACGGAAAAGAGCUCUCUGGCCAGUUUCGGAUCAUUUCACGAGGACACGCGCGCGCUGCACAUAAGCGAUUAUUUAUUUUCCAAAUCAGAUUUACAAUUCUACGGGAGAACAAGGUGUUUGGUGUGGAGGAAAUGGAGUCGUUUGUAAUGGUUGUCAUUUAUCUGAACAUGGAGCUCUUCCUAUGUACUACCAAUGAAAUAUAAUGUGUUGCCGAACUCCUACGCGCUUGUUAUCUUCAGGUGAGCUUUACGAAGGUCGACGGAGAAGUGUUGGAGCAGCAUGGAGACACGGGUAAGCGUCCUUCUCCUUCUUCCUUGUGUGUCACGGGGAAGAGAUUUCCAUGGAGCUCUCUAUUCGUCAUACUUUCGUCAUCGUCAUAGAGGAAUCUGGGGCACUAGAGAGGUCUUCGUGCCAAAGGACAGUGAAAGAAUAGGUUAUACUUGUAGAAGAGAGAUGUCGGUUGAAAGAGAUAACGUACCGCGCACGCGAAAAGGAAGCGCAUCCUGUUCCGUUUGCCUGACGUCAGUGCCAUGCGCAAUUGCUAAUUGACAAGGACAUACGGGAACCAGUACAUGAUGAGACAACGAAGUGAAAUGGAGGAGAUCACGUUUAUCGGAAAAGCGAUUGGCCAAAUAAUGCCAAGGAAAACACUCUAA
This is a long non-coding RNA of Anopheles arabiensis, 1215 nucleotides long. RefSeq lists it as uncharacterized. The transcript has 4 exons. The record is from RefSeq and is a predicted model, not a curated record. NCBI's taxonomy places the organism in Eukaryota, Metazoa, Arthropoda, Insecta, Diptera, Culicidae.